CCUACGGGAGGCUGCAGUGGGGAAUAUUGGGCAAUGGGCGAAAGCCUGACCCAGCAACGCCGCGUGAAGGAAGAAGGCUUUCGGGGUGUAAACUUCUUUUGACAGGGAAGAGCAGAAGACGGUACCUGUCGAAUAAGCCACGGCUAACUACGUGCCAGCAGCCGCGGUAAUACGUAGGUGGCAAGCGUUGUCCGGAUUUACUGGGUGUAAAGGGCGUGUAGCCGGGCUGACAAGUCAGAUGUGAAAUCCGGGGGCUCAACCCCCGAACUGCAUUUGAAACUGGUGGUCUUGAGUAUCGGAGAGGCAGGCGGAAUUCCUAGUGUAGCGGUGAAAUGCGUAGAUAUUAGGAGGAACACCAGUGGCGAAGGCGGCCUGCUGGACGACAACUGACGGUGAUGCGCGAAAGCGUGGGGAGCAAACAGGAUUAGAUACCCCAGUAGUC
This 442-nucleotide ribosomal RNA is filed under the name uncultured bacterium. RNAcentral describes it as "partial 16S ribosomal RNA". It matches the Rfam family "Bacterial small subunit ribosomal RNA", at positions 338 to 795 of the family's 1533-position model. The record is from RNAcentral.